GAACACACAAGCUGCUCUACAGAGAGGCCCACGUGGUGAGGGCCUGAGGCCUUCUGCCAAGAGCCAUAGACCAAACAUUCUAGAACCUGUGACCAGAACUUGACCUGCCUCCCUCAACAACUCCAGCAGCAGCUACCACGCCCUGGGAAACCACCUUAAGUCCACAGGUGCAACUGAUGCUGGGUGGCCCCAACAGCAGGUUGAAAGGCUGCCAACUUGAAAAGAGGUGGGGAACCUACAGCCUUGGAGCUACAUGUGGCCUUCUGGAUCCUUGAAUGUGGCCUUUUGAC
This is a long non-coding RNA of Lemur catta (Ring-tailed lemur), 290 nucleotides long. RefSeq lists it as uncharacterized. NCBI's taxonomy places the organism in Eukaryota, Metazoa, Chordata, Mammalia, Primates, Lemuridae. The transcript is spliced from 3 exons. The record is from RefSeq and is a predicted model, not a curated record.